This 468-nucleotide ribosomal RNA is filed under the name uncultured bacterium. Its description in RNAcentral is "partial 16S ribosomal RNA". It matches the Rfam family "Bacterial small subunit ribosomal RNA", at positions 28 to 507 of the family's 1533-position model. The record is from RNAcentral.
GACGAACGCUGGCGGCGUGCUUAACACAUGCAAGUCGAACGGAAAGGCCCUGCUUUUGUGGGGUGCUCGAGUGGCGAACGGGUGAGUAACACGUGAGUAACCUGCCCUUGACUUUGGGAUAACUUCAGGAAACUGGGGCUAAUACCGGAUAGGAGCUCCUGCUGCAUGGUGGGGGUUGGAAAGUUUCGGCGGUUGGGGAUGGACUCGCGGCUUAUCAGCUUGUUGGUGGGGUAGUGGCUUACCAAGGCUUUGACGGGUAGCCGGCCUGAGAGGGUGACCGGCGACAUUGGGACUGAGAUACGGCCCAGACUCCUAUGGGAGGCAGCAGUGGGGAAUAUUGCACAAUGGGCGGAAGCCUGAUGCAGCAACGCCGCGUGCGGGAUGACGGCCUUCGGGUUGUAAACCGCUUUCGCCUGUGACGAAGCGUGAGUGACGGUAAUGGGUAAAGAAGCACCGGCUAACUACGUG